RNAcentral lists this ribosomal RNA (253 nucleotides) under uncultured bacterium. RNAcentral describes it as "partial 16S ribosomal RNA". It matches the Rfam family "Bacterial small subunit ribosomal RNA", at positions 524 to 776 of the family's 1533-position model. The record is from RNAcentral.
UGCGGAGGGGGCUAGCGUUGUUCGGAAUUACUGGGCGUAAAGCGCGCGUAGGCGGCUACUCAAGUCAGAGGUGAAAGCCCGGGGCUCAACCCCGGAACUGCCUUUGAAACUAGGUGGCUGGAAUCUUGGAGAGGUCAGUGGAAUUCCGAGUGUAGAGGUGAAAUUCGUAGAUAUUCGGAAGGACACCAGUGGCGAAGGCGACUGACUGGACAAGUAUUGACGCUGAGGUGCGAAAGCGUGGGGAGCAAACAGG